Long non-coding RNA from Scaptodrosophila lebanonensis, 334 nucleotides. RefSeq lists it as uncharacterized. The record is from RefSeq and is a predicted model, not a curated record. The transcript is spliced from 2 exons. NCBI's taxonomy places the organism in Eukaryota, Metazoa, Arthropoda, Insecta, Diptera, Drosophilidae.
UGUCCCCCUAGUUAUAGGAAAAGUAUACACAUACAACAAUCCUAACUACAGGAAUAUCCAAUUAGGAUAUGUAUGUAUAGGCCGAUGUGCGGGAUCCUGCCGGCUUAGUUAAAUAUAUCACUAUUGGAAAAAAAUUUAAAUAUGCUUAACAAAUGCUGCCCCAGAAGGAAUGAGAUCGCCAAAGCGAACGCAAAAAAACGGUCUUCGAGAACUUGAAUUGGAAAACUGUCAACCACGUUUUGAAUUACUUCUUCAGCAGCAAGCCCCUGUUUUUACCUUAAGUUUUCUAGUACAAGACUUAUUAAACGGGUUGUUCCCUUUGGCGAUGGGUUUA